CAUGCAAGUCGAGCGGUAACAGAGAGAAGCUUGCUUCUCUGCUGACGAGCGGCGGACGGGUGAGUAAGACUUGGGAAUUUGCCUUUAGGCGGGGGACAACCACUGGAAACGGUGGCUAAUACCGCAUAAUGUCUACGGACCAAAGUGGGGGACCUUCGGGCCUCACACCUAAAGAUGAGCCCAAGCGGGAUUAGCUAGUUGGUGGGAGGNUAANAGGCUCACCAAGGCGAGCGAUACCCUUAGCUAGUUCUGAAGAGGAAUUGAUCCAGCCACAUUGGGACUGAAGACCACGGCCCAGACUCUUACGGGAGGCACGCAGUGGGGGAUAUUGCACAAUGGGGGAAACCCUGAUGCAGCCAUGCCGCGUGUGUGAAGAAGGCCUUCGGGUUGUAAAGCACUUUCAGUGGUGAGGAAAGGGUAAUCGUUAAUAGCUGUUACAGUUGACGUUAGCCACAGAAGAAGCACCGGCUAACUCCGUGCCAGCAGCCGCGGUAAUACGGAGGGUGCAAGCGUUAAUCGGAAUUACUGGGCGUAAAGCGUACGUAGGCGGUGUGUUAAGCUAGAUGUGAAAGCCCCGGGCUCAACCUGGGAAUAGCAUUUAGAACUGGCACGCUAGAGUCCUGAAGAGGGUGGUAGAAUUUCCAGUGUAGCGGUGAAAUGCGUAGAUAUUGGAAGGAAUACCGGUGGCGAAGGCGGCCACCUGGUCAGAGACUGACGCUGAGGUACGAAAGCGUGGGGAGCAAACAGGAUUAGAUACCCUGGUAGUCCACGCCGUAAACGAUGUCAACUAGUUGUUCGUGUCAUUAAGACGUGAGUAACGCAGCUAACGCACUAAGUUGACCGCCUGGGGAGUACGGCCGCAAGGUUAAAACUCAAAUGAAUUGACGGGGGCCCGCACAAGCGGUGGAGCAUGUGGUUUAAUUCGAUGCAACGCGAAGAACCUUACCAUCCCUUGACAUCCAGUGAAUUUUCCAGAGAUGGAUUAGUGUCUUCGGGAACACUGAGACAGGUGCUGCAUGGCUGUCGUCAGCUUCGUGUUGUGAGAUGUUGGGUUAAGUCCCGCAACGAGCGCAACCCUUUAUCCUUAGUUGCCAGCGGUUCGGCCGGGAACUCUGGGGAGAACUUGCCGGUGGAUAAAACCGGAGGAAGGUGGGGACGACGUCAAGUCCAUCAUGGGCCCUUACGGGAUGGGCUACCCAACGGUGGCUACAAUGGCGCGUAGACAAAGGGCAAGCGACCCUGCGAGGGUAAGCGAAUCUCAUAAAGCGCGUCGUAGUCCGGAUUGGAGUCUGCAACUCGACUCCAUGAAGUCGGAAUCGCUAGUAAUCGUGGAUCAGAAUGCCACGGUGAAUACGUUCCCGGGCCUUGUACACACCGCCCGUCACACCAUGGGAGUGGGCUGCACCAGAAGUGGUUAGUUUAACCUUCGGG
Molecule: ribosomal RNA, 1431 nt
Filed under: Idiomarina zobellii
Lineage: Bacteria; Pseudomonadati; Pseudomonadota; Gammaproteobacteria; Alteromonadales; Idiomarinaceae
Description: 16S ribosomal RNA
Rfam family: Bacterial small subunit ribosomal RNA
Source: RNAcentral